This 253-nucleotide ribosomal RNA is filed under the name uncultured bacterium. RNAcentral describes it as "partial 16S ribosomal RNA". It matches the Rfam family "Bacterial small subunit ribosomal RNA", at positions 524 to 776 of the family's 1533-position model. The record is from RNAcentral.
UACAGAGGGGGCAAGCGUUGUUCGGAAUUAUUGGGCGUAAAGCGCGUGUAGGCGGCUUUGCAAGUCGGGUGUGAAGGCCCUCGGCUCAACCGAGGAAGUGCAUUCGAAACUGCAGAGCUGGAGUCCUGGAGAGGAAGGCGGAAUUCUCGGUGUAGAGGUGAAAUUCGUAGAUAUCGAGAGGAACACCGGUGGCGAAGGCGGCCUUCUGGACAGUGACUGACGCUGAGACGCGAAAGCGUGGGGAGCAAACAGG